This 449-nucleotide ribosomal RNA is filed under the name uncultured bacterium. RNAcentral's name for it is "partial 16S ribosomal RNA". It matches the Rfam family "Bacterial small subunit ribosomal RNA", at positions 29 to 523 of the family's 1533-position model. The record is from RNAcentral.
AAUGAACGCUGGCGGCAGGCCUAACACAUGCAAGUCGAACGGAUCCUUCGGGAUUAGUGGCGGACGGGUGUGUAACGCGUGGGAACAUACCCAAAGGUACGGAAUAGCCUCGGGAAACUGGGAGUAAUACCGUAUGUGCUCGAAAGAGGAAAGAUUUAUCGCCUUUGGAUUGGCCCGCGUUGGAUUAGGUAGUUAGUGGGGUAAUGGCCUACCAAGCCGACGAUCCAUAGCUGGUUUGAGAGGAUGAUCAGCCACACUGGGACUGAGACACGGCCCAGACUCCUACGGGAGGCAGCAGUGGGGAAUCUUAGACAAUGGGGGAAACCCUGAUCUAGCCAUGCCGCGUGAUCGAUGAAGGCCUUAGGGUUGUAAAGAUCUUUCAGGUGGGAAGAUAAUGACUGUACCACCAGAAGAAGCCCCGGCUAACUCCGUGCCAGCCGCCGCAGUAA